CCUACGGGCGGCAGCAGUGAGGAAUAUUGGUCAAUGGGCGCGAGCCUGAACCAGCCAAGUAGCGUGAAGGAUGACUGCCCUACGGGUUGUAAACUUCUUUUAUACGGGAAUAAAGUGAGUCACGUGUGCCUCUUUGUAUGUACUUUAUGAAUAAGGAUCGGCUAACUCCGUGCCAGCAGCCGCGGUAAUACGGAGGAUCCGAGCGUUAUCCGGAUUUAUUGGGUUUAAAGGGAGCGUAGAUGGGAUGUUAAGCAAGGUGUGAAAGUUUGCGGCUCAACCGGGAAAUUGCAGUUGAUACUGGCGGGCUUGAGUACGGUGGAGGUAGGCGGAAUUCGUGGUGUAGCGGUGAAAUGCUUAGAUAUCACGAAGAACUCCGAUUGCGAAGGCAGCUUACUAAACUGGCACUGACAUUGAUGCUCGAAAGCGUGGGUAUCAAACAGGAUUAGAUACCCGUGUAGUC
This 460-nucleotide ribosomal RNA is filed under the name uncultured bacterium. Its description in RNAcentral is "partial 16S ribosomal RNA". It matches the Rfam family "Bacterial small subunit ribosomal RNA", at positions 338 to 795 of the family's 1533-position model. The record is from RNAcentral.